AGCGAACGCUGGCGGCAGGCUUAACACAUGCAAGUCGAGCGCCCCGCCAGGGGAGCGGCAGACGGGAGAGUAACACGUGGGAACAUACCUUUUGGUUCGGAACAAUUGAGGGAAACUUCAGCUAAUACCGGAUAAGCCCUUACGGGGAAAGAUUUAUCGCCGAAAGAUUGGCCCGCGUCUGAUUAGCUAGUUGGUGAGGUAACGGCUCACCAAGGCGACGAUCAGUAGCUGGUCUGAGAGGAUGAUCAGCCUCACUGGGACUGAGACACGGCCCAGACUCCUACGGGAGGCAGCAGUGGGGAAUAUUGGACAAUGGGGGCAACCCUGAUCCAGCCAUGCCGCGUGAGUGAUGAAGGCCUUAGGGUUGUAAAGCUCUUUUGCCCGGGAAGAUAAUGACGGUACCGGGAGAAUAAGCCCCGGCUAACUUCGUG
Molecule: ribosomal RNA, 431 nt
Filed under: uncultured bacterium
Lineage: Bacteria
Description: partial 16S ribosomal RNA
Rfam family: Bacterial small subunit ribosomal RNA
Source: RNAcentral